UACAGGCUUAACACAUGCAAGUCGAGGGGCAGCAUUUUAGUUUGCUUGCAAACUGAAGAUGGCGACCGGCGCACGGGUGAGUAACACGUAUCCAACCUGCCGAUAACUCCGGAAUAGCCUUUCGAAAGAAAGAUUAAUACCGGAUAGCAUACGAAUAUCGCAUGAUAUUUUUAUUAAAGAAUUUCGGUUAUCGAUGGGGAUGCGUUCCAUUAGUUUGUUGGCGGGGUAACGGCCCACCAAGACAACGAUGGAUAGGGGUUCUGAGAGGAAGGUCCCCCACAUUGGAACUGAGACACGGUCCAAACUCCUACGGGAGGCAGCAGUGAGGAAUAUUGGUCAAUGGGCGAGAGCCUGAACCAGCCAAGUAGCGUGAAGGAUGAAGGCUCUAUGGGUCGUAAACUUCUUUUAUAUGGGAAUAAAGUUUUCCACGUGUGGAAUUUUGUAUGUACCAUAUGAAUAAGGAUCGGCUAACUCCGUGCCAGCAGCCGCGGUAAUACGGAGGAUCCGAGCGUUAUCCGGAUUUAUUGGGUUUAAAGGGAGCGUAGGUGGAUUGUUAAGUCAGUUGUGAAAGUUUGCGGCUCAACCGUAAAAUUGCAGUUGAAACUGGCAGUCUUGAGUACAGUAGAGGUGGGCGGAAUUCGUGGUGUAGCGGUGAAAUGCUUAGAUAUCACGAAGAACUCCGAUUGCGAAGGCAGCUCACUAGACUGUCACUGACACUGAUGCUCGAAAGUGUGGGUAUCAAACAGGAUUAGAUACCCUGGUAGUCCACACAGUAAACGAUGAAUACUCGCUGUUUGCGAUAUACAGUAAGCGGCCAAGCGAAAGCAUUAAGUAUUCCACCUGGGGAGUACGCCGGCAACGGUGAAACUCAAAGGAAUUGACGGGGGCCCGCACAAGCGGAGGAACAUGUGGUUUAAUUCGAUGAUACGCGAGGAACCUUACCCGGGCUUAAAUUGCAACAGAAUAUAUUGGAAACAGUAUAGCCGUAAGGCUGUUGUGAAGGUGCUGCAUGGUUGUCGUCAGCUCGUGCCGUGAGGUGUCGGCUUAAGUGCCAUAACAAGCGCAACCCUUAUCUUUAGUUACUAACAGGUGAUGCUGAGGACUCUAGAGAGACUGCCGUCGUAAGAUGUGAGGAAGGUGGGGGUGACGUCAAAUCAGCACGGCCCUUACGUCCGGGGCUACACACGUGUUACAAUGGGGGGUACAGAAGGCGGCUACCUGGUGACAGGAUGCUAAUCCCAAAAACCUCUCUCAGUUCGGAUCGAAGUCUGCAACCCGACUUCGUGAAGCUGGAUUCGCUAGUAAUCGCGCAUCAGCCAUGGCGCGGUGAAUACGUUCCCGGGCCUUGUACACACCGCCCGUCAAGCCAUGAAAGCCGGGGGUACCUGAAGUACGUAACCGCAAGGAGCGUCCUAGGGUAAAACUGGUAAUUGGGGCUAAGUCAUA
This 1446-nucleotide ribosomal RNA is filed under the name uncultured organism. RNAcentral's name for it is "SSU rRNA". It matches the Rfam family "Bacterial small subunit ribosomal RNA". The record is from RNAcentral.